RNAcentral lists this ribosomal RNA (253 nucleotides) under uncultured bacterium. RNAcentral's name for it is "partial 16S ribosomal RNA". It matches the Rfam family "Bacterial small subunit ribosomal RNA", at positions 524 to 776 of the family's 1533-position model. The record is from RNAcentral.
UACGGAGGGUGCAAGCGUUAUCCGGAUUUAUUGGGUUUAAAGGGUCCGUAGGCGGUUUGGUAAGUCAGUGGUGAAAGCCCAUCGCUCAACGGUGGAACGGCCAUUGAUACUGCCAGACUUGAAUUAUUAGGAAGUAACUAGAAUAUGUAGUGUAGCGGUGAAAUGCUUAGAGAUUACAUGGAAUACCAAUUGCGAAGGCAGGUUACUACUAAUGGAUUGACGCUGAUGGACGAAAGCGUGGGUAGCGAACAGG